UGGGGAAUUUUGGACAAUGGGCGCAAGCCUGAUCCAGCCAUGCCGCGUGCGGGAAGAAGGCCUUCGGGUUGUAAACCGCUUUUGUCAGGGAAGAAAUACUCUGGGCUAAUACCCUGGGGUGAUGACGGUACCUGAAGAAUAAGCACCGGCUAACUACGUGCCAGCAGCCGCGGUAAUACGUAGGGUGCGAGCGUUAAUCGGAAUUACUGGGAGUAAAGCGUGCGCAGGCGGUUGUGUAAGACAGAUGUGAAAUCCCCGGGCUUAACCUGGGAACUGCAUUGGUGACUGCACGGCUUGAGUGCGGCAGAGGGGGAUGGAAUUCCGCGUGUAGCAGUGAAAUGCGUAGAUAUGCGGAGGAACACCGAUGGCGAAGGCAAUCCCCUGGGCCUGCACUGACGCUCAUGCACGAAAGCGUGGGGAGCAAACA
RNAcentral lists this ribosomal RNA (427 nucleotides) under uncultured bacterium. RNAcentral describes it as "bacterial SSU rRNA". It matches the Rfam family "Bacterial small subunit ribosomal RNA", at positions 355 to 774 of the family's 1533-position model. The record is from RNAcentral.